RNAcentral lists this ribosomal RNA (465 nucleotides) under Vreelandella stevensii. RNAcentral describes it as "partial 16S ribosomal RNA". It matches the Rfam family "Bacterial small subunit ribosomal RNA", at positions 338 to 795 of the family's 1533-position model. Lineage: Bacteria; Pseudomonadati; Pseudomonadota; Gammaproteobacteria; Oceanospirillales; Halomonadaceae. The record is from RNAcentral.
CCUACGGGUGGCUGCAGUGGGGAAUAUUGGACAAUGGGGGGAACCCUGAUCCAGCCAUGCCGCGUGUGUGAAGAAGGCCCUCGGGUUGUAAAGCACUUUCAGUGAGGAAGAACGCCUGGUGGUUAAUACCCAUCAGGAAAGACAUCACUCACAGCAGAAGCGCCGGCUAACUCCGUGCCAGCAGCCGCGGGUAUACGGAGGGUGCGAGCGUUAAUCGGAAUUACUGGGCGUAAAGCGCGCGUAGGUGGCUUGAUAAGCCGGUUGUGAAAGCCCCGGGCUCAACCUGGGAACGGCAUCCGGAACUGUCAAGCUAGAGUGCAGGAGAGGAAGGUAGAAUUCCCGGUGUAGCGGUGAAAUGCGUAGAGAUCGGGAGGAAUACCAGUGGCGAAGGCGGCCUUCUGGACUGACACUGACACUGAGGUGCGAAAGCGUGGGUAGCAAACAGGAUUAGAUACCCUUGUAGUC